GUGCCAGCCGCCGCGGUAAAACGUAGGAGCCUAGCGUUAUCCGAAUUCACUGGGCGUAAAGCGCGUGCAGGCGGUUCGGUAAGUUGGAUGUGAAAUCUCCUGGCUCAACUGGGAGAGGACGUUCAAGACUGUCGGACUAGAGGACGGUAGAGGAAGGUAGAAUUCCCGGUGUAGUGGUGAAAUGCGUAGAUAUCGGGAGGAAUACCAGUGGCGAAGGCGGCCUUCUGGGCCGUUCCUGACGCUCAGACGCGAAAGCUAGGGGAGCAAACGGGAUUAGAAACCCCCGUAGUCC
Molecule: ribosomal RNA, 292 nt
Filed under: uncultured bacterium
Lineage: Bacteria
Description: partial 16S ribosomal RNA
Rfam family: Bacterial small subunit ribosomal RNA
Source: RNAcentral